RNAcentral lists this ribosomal RNA (265 nucleotides) under uncultured prokaryote. Its description in RNAcentral is "partial 16S ribosomal RNA". It matches the Rfam family "Bacterial small subunit ribosomal RNA", at positions 524 to 788 of the family's 1533-position model. The record is from RNAcentral.
UACGUAGGGGGCGAGCGUUGUCCGGAAUGAUUGGGCGUAAAGGGCGCGCAGGCGGCCUGUCAAGUCAGUAGUGGAAGUCCAUUUUCCAAGGAUGGAAGUGCUAUAGAAACUGAUGGGCUUGAGUGCAGGAGAGGUUAUCGGAAUUCCCGGUGUAGCGGUGAAAUGCGUAGAGAUCGGGAGGAACACCAGUGGCGAAGGCGGGUAACUGGACUGCAACUGACGCUGAGGCGCGAAAGUGUGGGGAGCAAACAGGAUUAGAUACCCU